RNAcentral lists this ribosomal RNA (264 nucleotides) under uncultured archaeon. RNAcentral describes it as "partial 16S ribosomal RNA". It matches the Rfam family "Archaeal small subunit ribosomal RNA", at positions 717 to 982 of the family's 1478-position model. The record is from RNAcentral.
ACACGACUACAUUAGAUACCCCGGUAGUCCUAGCCGUAAACGAUACUCGCUAGGUGUCGGCCACGGUGCGACCGUUGUCGGUGCCGUAGGGAAGCCGUGAAGCGAGCCACCUGGGAAGUACGGCCGCAAGGCUGAAACUUAGGAGGAUUGGCGGGGAGCACCACAACGGGUGGAGCUUGCGGUUUAAUUGGAUUCAACGCCGGAAAUCUUACCGGGACCGACAGCAACAUGAAGGCCAGGCUGAAGACUUUGCCGGAUUAGCUG